Molecule: transfer RNA, 77 nt
Filed under: Moritella sp.
Lineage: Bacteria; Pseudomonadati; Pseudomonadota; Gammaproteobacteria; Alteromonadales; Moritellaceae
Also listed under: 1 other name
Description: tRNA-Ile
Rfam family: tRNA
About the family: Transfer RNA (tRNA) molecules are approximately 80 nucleotides in length. Their secondary structure includes four short double-helical elements and three loops (D, anti-codon, and T loops).
Source: RNAcentral
GGGUCUGUAGCUCAGGUGGUUAGAGCGCACGCCUGAUAAGCGUGAGGUCGAUAGUUCGAGUCUAUCCAGACCCACCA